Molecule: long non-coding RNA, 81 nt
Organism: Amblyraja radiata (thorny skate)
Lineage: Eukaryota; Metazoa; Chordata; Chondrichthyes; Rajiformes; Rajidae
Exons: 3
Source: RefSeq, a predicted model, not a curated record
UGUAAGGUUGUUCAGAUCAGCAAGAUUGUUUAGACUCCUUCCAGGAGCAGGGACAGGUUUCCCACGAGAACGACAGGCUGC